GGAGAGGUGCCAGAGUGGACGAAUGGGGCGGUCUCGAAAACCGUUGUAGUCGCAAGGCUACCGUGAGUUCGAAUCUCACCCUCUCCGCCA
Molecule: transfer RNA, 90 nt
Filed under: Anaerolineales bacterium
Lineage: Bacteria; Bacillati; Chloroflexota; Anaerolineae; Anaerolineales
Description: tRNA-Ser
Rfam family: tRNA
About the family: Transfer RNA (tRNA) molecules are approximately 80 nucleotides in length. Their secondary structure includes four short double-helical elements and three loops (D, anti-codon, and T loops). Further hydrogen bonds mediate the characteristic L-shaped molecular structure. tRNAs have two regions of fundamental functional importance: the anti-codon, which is responsible for specific mRNA codon recognition, and the 3' end, to which the tRNAs corresponding amino acid is attached (by aminoacyl-tRNA synthetases). tRNAs cope with the degeneracy of the genetic code in two manners: having more than one tRNA (with a specific anti-codon) for a particular amino acid; and 'wobble' base-pairing, i.e. permitting non-standard base-pairing at the 3rd anti-codon position.
Source: RNAcentral